AGGUCAAGCUACAAAGGGCGCAUGGUGAAUGCCUUGGCACUAGGAGCCGAAGAAGGACGCGAUA
RNAcentral lists this ribosomal RNA (64 nucleotides) under Clostridium botulinum. Its description in RNAcentral is "partial 23S ribosomal RNA". The record is from RNAcentral. Lineage: Bacteria; Bacillati; Bacillota; Clostridia; Eubacteriales; Clostridiaceae.